RNAcentral lists this long non-coding RNA (1015 nucleotides) under Equus caballus (horse). RNAcentral describes it as "lncRNA (ENSECAG00000031941.2)". Lineage: Eukaryota; Metazoa; Chordata; Mammalia; Perissodactyla; Equidae. The record is from RNAcentral.
CUCCGCCCGGCCGGCGUUCUUCUCGGCGACUCCGGGAUGCCGGCGGCGCCCGAUGCUGCCUCCCUCCGGCGUCCUGCGCGGAGCGGACGCAUCCUUCGUCCUCCGAGUGGCCAUGGCCUUUAAACUUCCCAGUCCUCGGCUGGGAGAGGGGUGCGCCAAGUUUUCAGCUGUGAGGUUCCCUUGCUCCUCUACCCCCGCCUCCCCUAAAGGCCUCCAAGGUGUCAAGCCUCUGGACACUGGAUGCGGCAACCCUCCCCCCUCCCCCCUCCAUACACAUGCCCCGGGCGAGGGAGUCGCGAGGCCACCUCCCCAGGCCAUCCCUUUUGUGAAUGACAGCAUCAGCGGAUUUUAAAAAAUGAGAGAAUUAAGACAACAAGGAAAUUAUAUGGACUGCCCAGAAUAAUACAACUGAUAGAGAGGAUUGGGGAGAAGAAAAGAGAUGGAAGAAGAGGAGAGGAGGAAAAAAGGAAAUUGAAGCAGAGAAGUAACAUAUAAUAAUCCUAGGCUUAAGCUAGAUUUAUUUUGGGAAAAGAUGAUUCUCUGUUCCUGAAAUGUUCUAAUUUCUUGCGUAUCUAACUAUCCACUGCUGAUUGUAAGGAUUGCAAUCGUCAAUGACAGGUUUGCUUGCUUGGUUCUUUCUCUGAUGAAUCCAUUUAAUUCUGUGGCCACUGUGACUUUCAUAGAAGAGCUGCCUCACAGUCGCAUGAGAAUACAUCAAUUUUUGUUUGGCUCAUACACAUCUUCUCAAAAUGACUUCAGUAGAGUAAGUAGAAGAACUUUAAUAGGAUUGGAAGAUCAAAGAUGGUGAGAAGAUUUAAGGAUAUCGUCAGUACAUCAAGAAUAAUAAAAUUAAACAUGUCUGAAAACAGAUGAUUGUAAGCAAUUUUGAUAGAGAUAGUCUCUUCCCCUCAAGUAACUUAAAAACCCUAAUUGGAUGAGCUGAUUUGGACAGUCAUCCCAGCCCCAGUGAAAUAAAUGUAUGGAAAGUAUAUAAAAAAUCCUUGUGAAACUUAGC